This is a long non-coding RNA of Humulus lupulus (European hop), 2226 nucleotides long. RefSeq lists it as uncharacterized. The record is from RefSeq and is a predicted model, not a curated record. NCBI's taxonomy places the organism in Eukaryota, Viridiplantae, Streptophyta, Magnoliopsida, Rosales, Cannabaceae. The transcript is spliced from 2 exons.
AACUUGUGUUUGAGAUGAGAGACCAGACCAGUAACCACUUUUCAGGCUAAACUAAACUCACCAUUUUUAAGCUGAGUUUCGAAAUUAGUUUAUUCAAACUAUCCCCAGCCACGACACAAAUUGAAGUUAUUUUAAGCACCUAGUCAAGAAGGAACAACCAUCAUCAUAUUGAGUAAGGUAAAAAUACAUGCAUACUAUAUAUAAAAAGAAAAUUAAUCAAUUAUAUGUUGUCACAAAUAAAUUUAAAAAUAUGUAAGGAUAUCUAAACAAACUAUAAUAAAGACAAAAUUAAAAUUUUAAAACCAACUAAGUUUAAUAUAUCACACUAUUUUCUUAAAACAAUUAGGUGGCCUUAUAAUGAAUUAGAAAGCACUCAUUUUGUUAAGAUAAAAAAGCCCACAGGUACACUUUGAAACUUUUGAAAACUCCAACCUUUUCACCAAUUUAAAAUAAUAAUGAUUGAAAAAAAAAUCAUAAUUCUUGAUAUCAUAUAGAAAUUGCAUUGAUUAAGUAUUGUAUUUUCAUUAAUAAUUUUACAGUGUUAGAAUAUAUAGUUUUUGAAUUUAUAGUCUUUGAAUAUAUAGUUUGAAUAUUUGUUAGCUAUAUUAUUGUUAAACAGUUGUAAUCCCAUAUUUGUAGCCUUACGUUACAACACUUGUAUAUAAGCUAAUCGAUGGAAUAAAAAUAAAGGGGAUUCAAUUCUUUCAUGGUAUCAGUUGUUUAGGGAAACACCUCUAUCAUUGUUCUCUAUCUCUCUUUUACUCCCUUUCAAUGGCCAACUCCAAAAUUCACCCCGCCACCACCGUCACCAACAUCAAAACAGUUCCCUGUUGUGCUUGACAUGGAAAACGACCAAUAUAUAAAUUGCUCUACUCUAUUCAAGCUGCAUUGUCGUGCUCAUCAGGUGUACGACCACAUCGUUCCAUCAGAAUCUACAGAGACGCCGGUCGGCAACUCCUCCAUAGUUGUUGAAAAAGCAGUUGCAAAGGCUCUUUUGGAUAAGCUAGAUGAUAUAGUCCUUCAAUGGAUUUAUAGCACAAUAUCUACUGAUCUCCUAAACUCCAUCAUUAAUUUGGAUGAUAAGGUCAAAGAUGCUUGGAAUCGCUUGGUGGACAUAUUCCAAGACAAUCAAAAUUCUCGUGUCGUAUUUCUCGAGAUUGAAUUCACUGCUACUCAUCUUAGUGAUUUUCUCAAUGUCUUAGCCUACUAUAACUGAUUGAAGGUAUUGGCGGAUCAAUUAGCAAACGUAGGUGCAAAAAUCUCGGAUCAAAGAUUGGUAUUGAAACUUGUUGCUGGACUCAUCGAAGCCUACAGCGGCUUUGUCACUAUUAUUCAACAACGUGACCCUCUUCCUUCCUUUUCCAAGGCUCGUUCAAUGCUCUGUUUAGAGGAGAAAAGAAUACAACAACGUGCCCAACGUGACUCGGGUUUGACCUCGUCUUUGCUUGUAACUUCUUCUACUGAUAAUUCUGUUUCUUCUGGACAGUAGGAUAAUCGUAAUAAAAAUGCAAGCAAUAAUAAUAAUCGUGGCAAAAGGAACAAUUCCCGUGGCCGAGGUCGAGGAAGGAAUAACAAAAAUUAUCGCGGUGGAGGCAACCAGCAGCAGCAGCCAUGGCAGCCACGUCUACAAGAAGGGCAACCUCAAUGGACCUACCCGCUAUGGAGUGCGUGGAUCCCACAGCAGCCAUGGAAAACCCCACCUUGCCCGUAUCCCACCACUCUGUGGCAGCGACCACUUGCAGCAAGGCAACAAGGUGUUCUCGGUUCCCGUCCCCCACAGUCAUUCUACACUUCCACCGCACCUCCUAGUGUGGCAUCAACCGAUGUUGAAGCGGCAAUGCAUACUCUCUCGAUUAAUCAACCGGAUGAUGAUUGGUAUACGGAUACCAGGGCAACCUCCCACAUGACUGCAAGCCAAGGAUUUACGGACGAGGAGUCCCCUAAUGAGGUGUGAAAACUCAAGAGAUCUCUACCCAUUCACCAAAAAUCAGGCCAUUCCAUUAACUUGUUUUCCUUAAGCUUUGUCAUUUCUCCUCACGUGUGGCAUUCCCGUUUAGGCCAUCCGGGAAAUGUAGUUUUCAAUUCUCUUCGUCGUAACAAAUUCAUUGCAUGUAAUAAAGCCCGAAACUUUUUUUGUCAUUCUUGUCCACUUGGGAAAUCUGUAUAGUUGUCAUUUUAUGAUUCUACUUCUUUUACUACUAUGCCAUUUGAUAUUGUUCACAGUGA